AACGUAGGUUCCGAGCGUUAUCCGGAUUUACUGCGCGUAAAGCGCGUUCAGGCGGUUUGGCAAGUCGGGCAUGAAAUCUCUCGGCUCAACCGGGAGAGGUUGUCCGAUACUUCCAGACUUGAGGGCAGUAGAGGGUGGUGGAAUUCCGGGUGUAGUGGUGAAAUGCGUAGAUAUCCGGAGGAACACCAGUGGCGAAAGCGGCCACCUGGACUGCACCUGACGCUGACACGCGAAAGCUAGGGGAGCGAACGGG
RNAcentral lists this ribosomal RNA (253 nucleotides) under uncultured bacterium. RNAcentral describes it as "partial 16S ribosomal RNA". It matches the Rfam family "Bacterial small subunit ribosomal RNA", at positions 524 to 776 of the family's 1533-position model. The record is from RNAcentral.